AAUUACUGAAGAAUUGUCUCCUGGCCAGAAUGCCACAUUGCAACUGAUACAGCUCAACAAUGACUCUAGGAUUAUCUGAAGCAGAAAAACAUCAGUGGGAAACUGCUCUGAGUGAGAACAGAUAAAAUGGAAGGAGCAUGUAUCAAAAAUUAAUGAAAACAAGUAGUCUACAGCAUUUGAAAAGAUGGUGUUUAUUUUUGUGAAGUUUUUAAUUUGAG
Long non-coding RNA from Vidua chalybeata, 218 nucleotides. RefSeq lists it as uncharacterized. The record is from RefSeq and is a predicted model, not a curated record. The transcript is spliced from 3 exons. Lineage: Eukaryota; Metazoa; Chordata; Aves; Passeriformes; Viduidae.